Molecule: microRNA precursor, 168 nt
Filed under: Pelobates cultripes (western spadefoot toad)
Lineage: Eukaryota; Metazoa; Chordata; Amphibia; Anura; Pelobatidae
Source: RNAcentral
GCAGACACAUUCCAGCCAAUCAGCAGCAGACCCUCCCUCCCAGACCCUCCCACCUCCUGGACAGCAUCCAUUUUACAUUCAUUGUGAAGCUGCAUUCUUAGUGAGCUGUCCAGGAGGUGGGAGGGUCUGGGAGGGAGAGUCUGCUGCUGAUUGGCUGGAAUGUGUCUG